GCAGCCAACUAUCAGGGUGAUUUCAACGGCCGAUCUCCAUCGCUCAGUCUUCGAACGUUCGAACAGCUAGUGAGGUGCUUGGGCCGAUUGACUGUUCCGGUUGUUGACGCAGGGCAUUUUGCGUAAGAAGAUGUGCAGCAAAACGAUCAUUCUCAUUGUAAGUAUGGCCAUCAUAGUCCAAAUGGCGAAGUCUGAGUGUCGGAAACCUGAAAAGUUCAAGACCCCGGAGGAGGUGCAGAAAUAUAUAAUAUGCAUCAACAACGGAAUGAGAUAUGGUAAGCGGUCGUAUAUCAAUCAAAGAAGGAUGGAGGCGCAGCCAUGGAAAUUUUUGAACUACGACGACCAGGCUAAUGAAGAACGGAGAUUGUACUACGACUUUUUGAUGUCUUCUGACAAAAGAAUAUAAGCGUCAUCAUCCUUUGUUACUUCAACUCAACAAUAACAUCCGUAUAAAUUCAGUAUUAUUAUGAUUUGUAAUUUUGUAGUUGCUAGAUAAAUCAUUGGCUAAGUUGAAAUGUAUAAGAAAUGUGUAUGAAUAAAUCUGAUCUGUGUUAGCAUGAAUUUUUACGAAAUUGUAUUUCAUUCAUUUUUUUAACCAAAAUAAAACUAUUACAUGGAA
Long non-coding RNA from Aethina tumida (small hive beetle), 619 nucleotides. RefSeq lists it as uncharacterized. Lineage: Eukaryota; Metazoa; Arthropoda; Insecta; Coleoptera; Nitidulidae. The transcript has 3 exons. The record is from RefSeq and is a predicted model, not a curated record.